CCUACGGGAGGCAGCAGUAAGGAAUAUUGGUCAAUGGACGCAAGUCUGAACCAGCCAUGCCGCGUGAAGGAUGAAGGUCCUCUGGAUUGUAAACUUCUUUUAUCUGGGACGAAAAAAGAUCAUUCUUGAUCACUUGACGGUACCAGAGGAAUAAGCACCGGCUAACUCCGUGCCAGCAGCCGCGGUAAU
RNAcentral lists this ribosomal RNA (189 nucleotides) under uncultured organism. RNAcentral's name for it is "partial 16S ribosomal RNA". It matches the Rfam family "Bacterial small subunit ribosomal RNA", at positions 338 to 524 of the family's 1533-position model. The record is from RNAcentral.